GUGGGGAAUCUUGCGCAAUGGGCGAAAGCCUGACGCAGCCAUGCCGCGUGAAUGAUGAAGGUCUUAGGAUUGUAAAAUUCUUUCACCGGGGACGAUAAUGACGGUACCCGGAGAAGAAGCCCCGGCUAACUUCGCGCCAGCAGCCGCGGUAAUACGAAGGGGGCUAGCGUUGCUCGGAAUUACUGGGCGUAAAGGGCGCGUAGGCGGACAGUUUAGUCAGAGGUGAAAGCCCAGGGCUCAACCUUGGAAUUGCCUUUGAUACUGGCUGUCUUGAGUACGGGGGAGGUGAGUGGAACUCCGAGUGUAGAGGUGAAAUUCGUAGAUAUUCGGAAGAACACCAGUGGCGAAGGCGACUCACUGGCCCGUUACUGACGCUGAGGCGCGAAAGCGUGGGGAGCAAACAGGAUUAGAAACCCGGGUAGUCC
RNAcentral lists this ribosomal RNA (425 nucleotides) under uncultured bacterium. Its description in RNAcentral is "partial 16S ribosomal RNA". It matches the Rfam family "Bacterial small subunit ribosomal RNA", at positions 354 to 796 of the family's 1533-position model. The record is from RNAcentral.